This 85-nucleotide transfer RNA is filed under the name Bacteroidetes/Chlorobi group bacterium MS-B_bin-24. Its description in RNAcentral is "tRNA-Ser". It matches the Rfam family "tRNA". Rfam says of the family: Transfer RNA (tRNA) molecules are approximately 80 nucleotides in length. Their secondary structure includes four short double-helical elements and three loops (D, anti-codon, and T loops). Lineage: Bacteria; Pseudomonadati. The record is from RNAcentral. RNAcentral also lists the same sequence under 2 other names.
GGUGGGUUCGCAUAAUGGUAGUGCAGCGGUCUUGAAAACCGCCGGGCGAAAGCCUGUGGGGGUUCGAGUCCCUCACCCACCGCAA